UACGUAGGGACCAAGCGUUGUUCGGAUUUACUGGGCGUAAAGGGCGCGUAGGCGGCGCGACAAGUCACUUGUGAAAUCUCUGGGCUUAACUCAGAACGGCCAAGUGAAACUGUUGUGCUAGAGUGCAGAAGGGGCAAUCGGAAUUCUCGGUGUAGCGGUGAAAUGCGUAGAUAUCGAGAGGAACACCAGAGGUGAAGACGGGUUGCUGGGCUGACACUGACGCUGAGGCGCGAAAGCCAGGGGAGCAAACGGG
This 253-nucleotide ribosomal RNA is filed under the name uncultured bacterium. Its description in RNAcentral is "partial 16S ribosomal RNA". It matches the Rfam family "Bacterial small subunit ribosomal RNA", at positions 524 to 776 of the family's 1533-position model. The record is from RNAcentral.